Molecule: long non-coding RNA, 1664 nt
Organism: Gasterosteus aculeatus aculeatus (three-spined stickleback)
Lineage: Eukaryota; Metazoa; Chordata; Actinopteri; Perciformes; Gasterosteidae
Source: Ensembl
GACACGUGCGCACACACACACACUCACAGACUCACAUGCACACACACCUAACUACUUGCAGACACACAAGUUUUGCAUUGAUCACACUCGACACCACAACCCCCCCCAACAUAUAAACGCACACAAACACACAGACAUGCAUUCAUAACACAGGCCGUCUGACCAAAAGCUGAACACACACACACAUUUUAUAGACACACACACACACACACGCCUCAACAUGGCCAAUAAACCACCACACCAACACGUGGUGCCUGUCUGUCUGUGAGUGUGAGUGUGUGGUGAAGGUGUGCGUUGCUGAGGGUUAGGGUGUGAUUUUCUUGUGUGUGUGUGUUUCUGCAGAUACACUCUUCCCGGCAUCCACGGCCUCAACUUUGUCCUGCAGAGCUCGCUGGGAGGGGGAGGGGUGGCGUCUCUACGCAGCGACCCCCAGGGAAAAGCUUACGGUCAGAUGCUGCUGGACGUGAAGCUGCACGGACUCCCCGACCUCAAGUCCCUGGUGGACUGAGACACUCUGGACCACCACAAAAGAAGAGAGAGAGCAAAGAGAAACACGAAAGGACAUUUUAGCUCAACAGAACGAGGAGAAACCAGAUGAAACGCCAAACCACAGGCUCGGCCAACGUUAGCUAACGUUAGCUAACGCAUUUAAAUCAACCAGAGUAGAUGAUUAAGGAGCAACACGUUGAAAUAGAGGAACACGACUCGCACUAAACCUGGGCUCCGGCUUCAAGGGACCUGACCUCUGUGACCCCGGCGGUUUGGAGACAUCAGGCCUCAGCUGCUGCAUUCGUGAGCUCUGAGUGUUUUCACUCAAACACAGAGAAGAACCACAUGAGACCUUCUGCCAGGAAGAAAAAGCAAAACCACGAUCCUCCGAACAGACUUACGGAGAGAUUUACACGCAAUAAAAUCCUAAAAUAACCCACAACAACGAGAGUCCUUCCACAAACAAAUUGAGCACAGACGCGCGAGUAUCAAUCAACAAAUAUUCGCCUCAGAAGAAUCCACGGGCUCCUCUGGAGUUCAACGGACGCCGCCGAGGUGGUCCCAUCGUUUUUAGCGAGGUGUUGAAAUCCAGGCUGUAAAUUCCAGCUCAGUUUCCCGUUUUCAUAAAAAAGAAAGCUCCGAUUUCAUGUGGAAUCUCGCAUCCGCCUGCUAAUUAGUCACCGUGGAAUAAGUUCUAGCAGCUAAAUGUUCACACGUCGCGGCUGACGGGAAAGACGGUUUGGUGUUUGAUUUUAAACCUUAAGCGACAUGUUCUCUCUCUCAGUAUGAAGCUAAAUAGAAGGAACACUUGUAAUAUGAACUUCAGAAAUAAAUAUGUUUGAAAAAAUCUGUCCUCCAGAAUAUUCUGCAGCGGACGAGCCUGUUAGUCUGCACUGAACUCAUGAAUGUUCAGUAUUUGUUGGUGAAAAAGCAGUGGCCCCAGGAUGGAACUGUGUGUGUGUGUGUGUGUGUGUGUGUGUGUGUGUGUGUGUGUGCGUGUGUGUGUGUGUGUGUGCAUAUAUAACAUGGAGUCUGAGCCUUUCUUUGGGUUUAUUCACCUCUUAAGUUUUAACAUCACUUGUUUCUUCCAAGAACUUUUCUCCAAAUGAAGUAAUGAAAGUUUGAUUCCGUGCUUUCUUUAUUUUUAUCACUUCAUGCUUUUAAGGAGCCGAUUU